GUGAGUCAUCGAAUCUUUGAACGCACAUUGCGCCCCCUGGCAUUCCGGGGGGCACACCUGUUCGAGCGCCAUUUCGACCCUCAAGCACGGCUUGGUGUUGGGCGCGGUCGUUACCGACCUGCCCGUAACUCGUAGGCGGCCGCCGCCCGCGCCCCCAGCGUAGCAAGCUCACGCGUUCGCUCGGGGACGGUGCGCGCCUGGCCGCCCACAACACUUCAAGGUUUGGCCUCGGAUCAGGUGGGGAUACCCGCUGAACUUAAGCAUAUCAAUAAGCGGAGGA
This 280-nucleotide unclassified non-coding RNA is filed under the name fungal sp. Its description in RNAcentral is "partial contains 5.8S ribosomal RNA, internal transcribed spacer 2, and large subunit ribosomal RNA". The stretch from base 1 to 71 matches the Rfam family "5.8S ribosomal RNA", at positions 84 to 154 of the family's 154-position model. Lineage: Eukaryota; Fungi. The record is from RNAcentral.